Molecule: transfer RNA, 77 nt
Filed under: Chloroflexi bacterium RBG_16_68_14
Lineage: Bacteria; Bacillati; Chloroflexota
Description: tRNA-Val
Rfam family: tRNA
About the family: Transfer RNA (tRNA) molecules are approximately 80 nucleotides in length. Their secondary structure includes four short double-helical elements and three loops (D, anti-codon, and T loops).
Source: RNAcentral
GGGCGAUUAGCUCAGAUGGCUAGAGCGUCUGCUUUACACGCAGAAGGUCGCAGGUUCGAGCCCUGCAUCGCCCACCA